Molecule: transfer RNA, 85 nt
Rfam family: tRNA
About the family: Transfer RNA (tRNA) molecules are approximately 80 nucleotides in length.
Source: Rfam
CUCUCCAUAGCUCAGUUGGAAGAGCGCAAGACUGUAAUGGAAACUGUUCAUCUUGAGGUCCCUAGUUCGAACCUUGGUGGGGAGA